AGGUUACCUGCUUCAACAGUGCUUGAACGGCAACCU
Gasterosteus aculeatus (three-spined stickleback) is the source of this 36-nucleotide non-coding RNA. The record is from Rfam. NCBI's taxonomy places the organism in Eukaryota, Metazoa, Chordata, Actinopteri, Perciformes, Gasterosteidae.